Molecule: long non-coding RNA, 216 nt
Organism: Sebastes umbrosus (honeycomb rockfish)
Lineage: Eukaryota; Metazoa; Chordata; Actinopteri; Perciformes; Sebastidae
Exons: 2
Source: RefSeq, a predicted model, not a curated record
UAGGUUUAGGCAACAAAACUACAACUUCUUUAGGUUUAGGCAAUAAAACUACAACUUAUUUAGGUUUACGCAACAAAACUACAACUUCUUUAGGUUUAGGCAAUACAACUACAACUUAUUUAUGAUCAAGCAAUAAAUAUACAACUUCUUUAGGUUUAGGCAGUAGAACUAAAACUUAUUUAUGUUUAAGCAACAAAACUACAACUUCUUUAGGUU